Long non-coding RNA from Gasterosteus aculeatus aculeatus (three-spined stickleback), 2518 nucleotides. Lineage: Eukaryota; Metazoa; Chordata; Actinopteri; Perciformes; Gasterosteidae. The record is from Ensembl.
CAGGAAAUUCUCCUAGAAAUAUUCAAGGGAAUGCUAGAAGACAAAGAUUAAAAAAUGUGAUAAGGGGGGAAGAAACCUUUGUUUGCCACAUAUCUUGCUUUCUACAAUAUUGCCAGGAAAACAAAAGGAGUGAUCUUCAUAGGGAACCAGUGUGAUGAUGGUUGGUGAAAUAAAAAAUAUUCAAAAAAUAAUCCAAAAAAUAGUCACGGAAAUAUUUACGGAAAUAUCCACGGAAAUAUUCAUGAAAAUAUUCAAGAAAUAUUCAAAGGAAAGAUUGAUUACAAAGAUUAUCAAAUGUGAUAAGGGGGGAAGGAAACCUGUGUUUGCCACAUAUCUUUUGUCCUACAAUAUUGCCAGGAAAAGAAAAGGAGUGAUCUUCAUAGGAAACCAGUGGGAUGAUAGUUGUUUAAAAAAAAAAAAAAUCAUUAAUAUUAAAAAAAUAUUCAAAAAUAUCCAAAAAAUAUUCACGGAAAUAUUCAUGAAAAUAUUCACGGAAAUAUUCAUGAAAAUAUUCAAGAAAUAUUCAAAGGAAUGAUUGAUUACAAAGAUUAAAAAAUGUGAUAAGGGGGGAAGGAAACCUUUGUUUGCCACAUAUCUUGCGUUCUACAAUAUUGCCAGGAAAACAAAAGGAGUGAUCUUCUUAGGGAACCAGUGUGAUGAUGGUUGGUGAAAUAAAAAAUAUUCAAAAAAUAUACACGAAAAUAUUCACGGAAAUAUUCACGGAAAUAUUCAGGAAAAUAUUCAAGAAAUAUUCAAAGGAAAGAUUGAUUACAAAGAUUAUCAAAUGUGAUAAGGGGGGAAGGAAACCUUUGUUUGCCACAUAUCUUGCGUUCUACAAUAUUGCCAGGAAAACAAAAGGAGUGAUCUUCAUAGGGAACCAGUCCGAUGAUGGUUGGUGAAAUUAAAAAUAUUCAAAAAUAUUCAAAAAAUAAUCACGCAAAUAUUCAUGCAAAUAUUUCAGAAAUAUUCAAAGGAAUGAUUGAUUAAAAAGAUUAAAAAAUGUUAUAAGGGGGGAAGGAAACCUGUGUUUUCCACAUAUCUUGCGUUCUACAAUAUUGCCAGGAAAACAAAAGGAGUGAUCUUCUUAGGGAACCAGUGUGAUGAUGGUUGGUGAAAUAAAAAAUAUUCAAAAAAUAAUCCAAAAAAUAUUCACGGAAAUAUUCACGGAAAUAUUCACGGAAAUAUUCAUGAAAAUAUUCAAGAAAUAUUCAAAGGAAUGAUUGAUUACAAAGAUUAUCAAAUGUGAUAAGGGGGGAAGAAACCUUUGUUUGCCACAUAUCUUGCUUUCUACAAUAUUGCCAGGAAAAGAAAAGGAGUGAUCUUCAUAGGGAACCAGUGUGAUGAUGGUUGGUGAAAUAAAAAAUAUUCAAAAAAUAAUCCAAAAAAUAUUCACGGAAAUAUUCACGGAAAUAUUCACGGAAAUAUUCAUGAAAAUAUUCAAGAAAUAUUCAAGAAAUAUUCAAAGGAAUGAUUGAAUACAAAGAUUAAAAAAUGUGAUAAGGGGGGAAGGAAACCUGUGUUUGCCACAUAUCUUGCGUUCUACAAUAUUGCCAGGAAAACAAAAGGAGUGAUCUUCAUAGGGAACCAGUCCGAUGAUGGUUGGUGAAAUUAAAAAUAUUCCAAAAAAAUUCCAAAAAUAUUCACGGAACUAUUCACAGAAAUAUUCACGGAAAUAUUAAUGAAAAUAUUCAAGAAAUAUUCAAAGGAAUGAUUGAUUACAAAGAUUAUCAAAUGUGAUAAGGGGGGAAGGAAACCUGUGUUUUCCACAUAUCUCGCGUUCUACAAUAUUGCCAGGAAAACAAAAGGAGUGAUCUUCUUAGGGAACCAGUGUGAUGAUGGUUGGUGAAAUAAAAAAUAUUCAAAAAAUAAUCCAAAAAAUAUUCACGAAAAUAUUCACGGAAAUAUAUUCACGGAAAUAUUCACGAAAAUAUUCAUGAAAAUAUUCAAGAAAUAUUCAAAGGAAUCAUUGAUUACAAAGAUUAUCAAAUGUGAUAAGGGGGAAGGAAACCUGUGUUUGCCACAUAUCUUGCUUUCUACAAUAUUGCCAGGAAAACAAAAGGAGUGAUCUUCAUAGGGAACCAGGGGGAAGGAAACCUGUGUUUGCCACAUAUCUUGCUUUCUACAAUAUUGCCAGGAAAACAAAAGGAGUGAUCUUCAUAGGGAACCAGUGUGAUGAUGGUGUGUGAAAUAAAAAAUAUUCAAAAAAUAAUCCAAAAAAUAUUCACGGAAAUAUUCACGGAAAUAUUCACUGAAAUAUUCACGGAAAUAUUCACGGAAAUAUUCACGGAAAUAUUCAAAGGAAAGAUUGAUUACAAAGAUUAUCAAAUGUGAUAAGGGGGAAGGAAACCUGUGUUUGCCACAUAUCUUGCGUUCUACAAUAUUGCCAGGAAAACAAAAGGAGUGAUCUUCAUAGGAGAUCAGUGUGAUGAUGGUUGGUGAAAUAAAAAAUAUUCUAAAAAUGAUCCCAAAAAUAUUCACGGAAAUAUUCACAAGAUGUUCAAAGGAAUGAUUGAAUACA